UUUUUAUUUAUAUUGUAAUCUACUAUUAUUGCAUAUUUGUCCUCUUAUUGUGAAUUUUAUUUUUAUUUAGAGUGAUGGACAUAACUAUACAAAGAAUAAUGAAAUUCUGGUUACAUCCAAAUAUUAUAUUUAACAAUUCAUCUAAGGGAAAACGUCUACAAGAAUAUCUUUCCCACAUUAAUAAAAUAACGAGCGAGAUUAUAAAGAAAAAGAAGGAGUCAAUGCACAAGGAUAACUUUACCCAGGAAGGAAAA
This 254-nucleotide long non-coding RNA is filed under the name Polistes fuscatus (common paper wasp). Its description in RNAcentral is "uncharacterized LOC122518932". Lineage: Eukaryota; Metazoa; Arthropoda; Insecta; Hymenoptera; Vespidae. The record is from RNAcentral.